This is a long non-coding RNA of Vespula vulgaris, 1738 nucleotides long. RefSeq lists it as uncharacterized. The record is from RefSeq and is a predicted model, not a curated record. Lineage: Eukaryota; Metazoa; Arthropoda; Insecta; Hymenoptera; Vespidae. The transcript is spliced from 10 exons.
UGUACUCGUUAGUAGCCAGAAGUUCUAAUCGCUUUGGAAGAAGAAAAAGCUGCAACGAAGAAGAAAUUCAUCUGAAUAAGGGAAGAAAAAAAAGGAUUUCGUCUAGAUUUUCGAACAUUACUGAUCUGUAUAAAUUCUAAAAAGCAUUAGCACAUCGACCAAUAUUAUUUUUUGCAAAAGUAUCUGUAUUUCAUCGCAAAAGAUGUGGACAAAGAUAUUCACUCGCUUGCUGUCACACAGAUAGUGGAACAUUCACACAAAUACAUGGAACCGAGUAUAAAACAUUGUCUCCAAGCUGUGAAUCUAUAAACCUGUGUAAAUUGAUACGCUGCAUUCAUAAUCUUUUAGAAAAAUUCUUUCAAUGCGAAGUUUCCUUUUGUAUGUCGACGAGUGCACAUCGCAGUUCUCGUAGUACGCAUCCUUUGGAAGUAAUAGAGAAGAAUCAAUAACGAAAUUGUGGAGUGGGGAUAGUGAGCUUCCCGAGAUGACAACAAAGUCGAGCGUCCGACCGAUUUUAAUAGUAAACGGUUCAGUCUCGCUACGAAUUUCGAAGAGUACGCAUCGCAGAUCACGUAGUACGCAUUUUUUGGAAGUAAUAGAGAAGAAUCAAUAACGAAAUUGUGGAGUGGGGAUAGUGGGCUUCCCGAGAUGACAACAAAGUCGAGCGUCCGACCGAUUUUAAUAGUAAACGGUUCAGUCUCGCUACGAAUUUCGAAGAGUACGCAUCGCAGAUCACGUAGUACGCAUUUUUUGGAAGUAAUAGAGAAGAAUCAAUAACGAAAUUGUGGAGUGGGGAUAGUGGGCUUCCCGAGAUGACAACAAAGUCGAGCGUCCGACCGAUUUUAAUAGUAAACGGUUCAGUCUCGCUACGAAUUUCGAAGAGUACGCAUCGCAGAUCACGUAGUACGCAUUUUUUGGAAGUAAUAGAGAAGAAUCAAUAACGAAAUUGUGGAGUGGGGAUAGUGGGCUUCCCGAGAUGACAACAAAGUCGAGCGUCCGACCGAUUUUAAUAGUAAACGGUUCAGUCUCGCUACGAAUUUCGAAGAGUACGCAUCGCAGAUCACGUAGUACGCAUUUUUUGGAAGUAAUAGAGAAGAAUCAAUAACGAAAUUGUGGAGUGGGGAUAGUGGGCUUCCCGAGAUGACAACAAAGUCGAGCGUCCGACCGAUUUUAAUAGUAAACGGUUCAGUCUCGCUACGAAUUUCGAAGAGUACGCAUCGCAGAUCACGUAGUACGCAUUUUUUGGAAGUAAUAGAGAAGAAUCAAUAACGAAAUUGUGGAGUGGGGAUAGUGGGCUUCCCGAGAUGACAACAAAGUCGAGCGUCCGACCGAUUUUAAUAGUAAACGGUUCAGUCUCGCUACGAAUUUCGAAGAGUACGCAUCGCAGAUCACGUAGUACGCAUUUUUUGGAAGUAAUGGAGAAGAAUCAAUAACGAAAUUGUGGAGUGGGGAUAGUGGGCUCCCCGAGAUGACAACAAAGUCGAGCGUCCGACCGAUUUUAAUAGUAAACGGUUCAGUCUCGCUACGAAUUUCGAAGAGUACGCAUCGCAGAUCACGUAGUACGCAUUCUUUGGAAGUAAUGGAGAAGAAUCAAUAACGAAAUUGUGGAGUGGGGAUAGUGAGCUUCCCGAGAUGACAACAAAGUCGAGCGUCCGACCGAUUUUAAUAGUAAACGGUUCAGUCUUGCUACGAAUUUCGAAGAGUACGCAUCGCAGUUCACGUAGUACGCAUUGUUUGG